AGGGAUAUAGUUAAUUAUAACAUUUGAAUUGCACUCAAAAAGUACUACUUUCCGAACAGUUGUCCUUG
RNAcentral lists this transfer RNA (68 nucleotides) under Xibalbanus tulumensis. Its description in RNAcentral is "tRNA-Ala". The record is from RNAcentral. Lineage: Eukaryota; Metazoa; Arthropoda; Remipedia; Nectiopoda; Speleonectidae.